RNAcentral lists this ribosomal RNA (1305 nucleotides) under uncultured bacterium. Its description in RNAcentral is "partial 16S ribosomal RNA". It matches the Rfam family "Bacterial small subunit ribosomal RNA", at positions 10 to 1382 of the family's 1533-position model. The record is from RNAcentral.
AGUUCCCUCCUGGCUCAGGAUGAACGCUGGCGGCGUGCCUAAUACAUGCAAGUCGAAUGGGUUAGACCCAUGGCGAACGGGUGAGUAACGCGUAGGAACAUGCUCCGAAGUCGGGAAUAUCCUCUCGAAAGAGAGUGUAAAACUCGAUAUGCCGUAAGGUGAAAGUUUACGCUUCGGAAGUGGCCUGCGUCCUAUCAGCUUGUUGGUGAGGUAAAAGCUUACCAAGGCGAUGACGGGUAACUGGUCUGAGAGGACGACCAGUCACAGUGGGACUGAGACACGGCCCACACUUCUACGGAAGGCAGCAGUAGGGAAUUGUCGGCAAUGGGCGAAAGCCUGACCGCGCGACGCCGCGUGAAGGAAGAAGGCCUUCGGGUUGUAAACUUCUUUUAUGAGGGACGAUUAUGACGGUACCUCAUGAAUAAGGGGCUGCUAACUACGUGCCAGCAGCAGCGGUAAUACGUAGGCCCCAAGCGUUAUCCGGAAUUACUGGGCGUAAAGUGCGCGUAGGCGUUUUUGUAAGUCGGUCGUUAAAUCUCACUGCUUAACAGUGAGACCGCGAGCGAUACUACAAGAAUUGAGUUUUGCAGGGGCUAGCAGAAUUUCUGGAGUAGGGGUGAAAUCCGUUGAUACCAGAAGGAAUACCAAUGGCGAAGGCAGCUAGCUGGGCAAUAACUGACGCUGAGAGCGCGAAAGCGUGGGGAGCAAACGGGAUUAGAUACCCCGGUAGUCCACGCUGUAAACGAUGUCAACUAGCAAUAGGAAGAGUCGACCCUUUCUGUUGCGAAGCUAACGCGUCAAGUUGACCGCCUGGGAAGUACGAUCGCAAGAUUAAAACUCAAAGGAAUUGGCGGGGGCUCGCACAAGCGGUGGAGCAUGUGGUUUAAUUCGACAGUAACCGAGAAACCUUAUCCAGGGUUUGACAUCUAAGGAAUCUCCGAGAAACCGGAGAGUGCCGUAAGGAACCUUAAGACAGGUAUUGCACGGUCGUCGUCAGUUCGUGGCGUGAGCUGUGCGGUUAAGUCCGUAAACGAACGAAACCCUUAUCCUAUGUUGGAUAUUCAUAGGAGACUGCCCUGGCAACAGGGAGGAAGGUGGGGAUGACGUCAGAUCCGCGUGAUCUUUAUACCCUGGGCUACACACGUGCUACAAUCCGGCAGACAAUGGGUCGCCAACCCGUGAGGGGGAGCUAAUCCCAUCAAAAUGCCGGUCAGUUCGGAUUGAAGUCUGCAACUCGACUUCAUGAAGCCGGAAUCGCUAGUAAUCGUGAAUCAUCAUGUCACGGUGAAUACGUUCUCGAGCUGC